GCGGAUGUAGUUCAAUGGUAGAACCUCAGCCUUCCAAGCUGUUGACGCGAGUUCGAUUCUCGUCAUCCGCUCCA
RNAcentral lists this transfer RNA (74 nucleotides) under Erysipelotrichaceae bacterium. RNAcentral's name for it is "tRNA-Gly". It matches the Rfam family "tRNA". From Rfam's summary of the family: Transfer RNA (tRNA) molecules are approximately 80 nucleotides in length. Lineage: Bacteria; Bacillati; Bacillota; Erysipelotrichia; Erysipelotrichales; Erysipelotrichaceae. The record is from RNAcentral.